UUGUCCUUUCUGUGUUCAUUUCUCAUGUUGGAAAUGAGAAUGGAAUUUUGUCCAAAUAAACCCAAGUACCUAGAAGAUGACUGCUUUGAGGUAGAGUGGUGAAUGGAUAAAACCAGCUCCAUUUUUGUGACAGGAAGGAUUUGUGACAAUUUUUUUCUGCUUUCUUAUUAGCUAUUAUUAUUAUUAUUAUUAUUGGAUGCUGCAAGUAUUCCAAACUGUUGUACGAGAUGUGAAAGCAGGGUUGCUUCUACCCUGUAGACUUAAAUAACCCUCAAAUCAACAAAUGAGAUUUUUUUUCAAGUGCUUGCUACUACAAAUAAGUACAAAAUAGAAUAUCAUAUUAUGAAAAUAUUUUGUUUAUAGGCCAAGGUUGCAAUUAAGAAGGACUUCUAACAGUAUUUCUAUAAUACCUCUGAUAAUGACAAAGGUCCACUGAACAGAAAACCUACAGUAAUGAACUACCCUUUUUAUUUUGAUACUGCUAUUAUCCUAAGUUAGGGCCAGUUUGAGUGCAGCAGACUGAAUACAUCUGGAUUCUCUCUUCCUUAUCUGAUUACUUUUGUAUGAAAAUCUCUUUAACUGAAUAUCUCUGACUUAAUAGUAUUCAACCUGCACACAAACACUGAAGACUUCACUUUCUUUCCUGCCAUUUUCUUGGUUUUCAUGACUUCUACUUCUCUUAUAGACCCUUAGCCUAUUUUGUGUUGUGGAACCUUUAACAAUCAGGUGAAGUCUAUGGACUCUUCAGAAUAAUCUUAAAUAUAUAAAAUAAACAAUUACAUUGAAUACAGUUAUAAAAAUAUUAAAAGAAAAUAAAUUCAUGGGCUUGAGGUUAAUUGGACUCUAGUUGCUGGUCCUGGUAUCUGGCCAUGGUGGCCCAUUCUUGUAAUCCUUUCUACUGGGGAAUCUAAAGCCUAGUGUCUUACUUGUGUUGUAGAAUUCUGAGUGGAAGUAGAUUAGCUAAUUCAGCUGCUUGUCUACCUCUACUGUCCCUUCAUCCCCACCCCAUGAUGGGUAAUCUACUUCUUGUUAUUGAGUCAGUUCAGCUGUGUUCAACUCUUCACGACUCCACUGGAGUUAUCCAACAAAUACUGGAACAGCAAACAGAGUAAAGUGACUUGACCAGAUCACAUAACUAGUAAUUGAGGCCAGAUUUGAACUCAGGAAGAGGUGUCUUUCUGACUCCAGAUUCUCACUCUAGCUACUGCUCCACCUAAAGGCCCUGCCAAUCUACCUAAGGAGGGCCAAACGAGCCCAUGUCAGAAAAAUGGAACAAGUUACAGGCCCGGAUGCUGAUCAGCAAGAUCAACAUGGUCAACAUGGAGACACAAUCUAACAACACCACUACCAUAAAACCCUUGUAUACCAGGAUAAUACUAGAAUAAAGAAUUAUCCUCUCUUUUCUUUCCUGUGAGUUUUUUAAGACAACAUAUAAUGAACAGUUGGAAG
Molecule: long non-coding RNA, 1449 nt
Filed under: Sarcophilus harrisii (Tasmanian devil)
Lineage: Eukaryota; Metazoa; Chordata; Mammalia; Dasyuromorphia; Dasyuridae
Description: lncRNA (ENSSHAG00000027060.1)
Source: RNAcentral